CUUCAAUGACCCCAGCCACAGCGGCUGAUCCUCCGGCCGCUCCUGACCGUAGGUGGCCAGGAGUGCCUGGGCCUC
RNAcentral lists this antisense RNA (75 nucleotides) under Streptomyces hygroscopicus subsp. duamyceticus. RNAcentral's name for it is "ASpks TB sRNA". It matches the Rfam family "ASpks TB sRNA". The record is from Rfam by way of RNAcentral. Lineage: Bacteria; Bacillati; Actinomycetota; Actinomycetes; Kitasatosporales; Streptomycetaceae.